UACGUAGGGGGCGAGCGUUGUCCGGAGUUACUGGGCGUAAAGGGCGUGCAGGCGGUCUGUUAAGUUCAGGGUGAAAGCUCCCGGCUCAACUGGGAGAGGUCCUUGGAUACUGGCAGACUUGAGGGAGGUAGAGGAGAGUGGAAUUCCCGGUGUAGUGGUGAUAUGCGUAGAUAUCGGGAGGAACACCAGUGGCGAAGGCGACUUCCUGGCCUGUUCUUGACGCUGAGGCGCGAAAGCUAGGGGAGCAAACGGG
Molecule: ribosomal RNA, 253 nt
Filed under: uncultured bacterium
Lineage: Bacteria
Description: partial 16S ribosomal RNA
Rfam family: Bacterial small subunit ribosomal RNA
Source: RNAcentral